RNAcentral lists this transfer RNA (71 nucleotides) under Pheidole tristis. RNAcentral describes it as "tRNA-Gly". The record is from RNAcentral. Lineage: Eukaryota; Metazoa; Arthropoda; Insecta; Hymenoptera; Formicidae.
AUUUAUAUAGUAUAAUUACUAUUACAUUUAACUUCCAAUUAAAUCAUUUAAAAAUUACUUUAAUAUAAAUA